Pelobates cultripes (western spadefoot toad) is the source of this 289-nucleotide non-coding RNA. The record is from the annotation of a GenBank genome assembly. NCBI's taxonomy places the organism in Eukaryota, Metazoa, Chordata, Amphibia, Anura, Pelobatidae.
CGGCUCUGUAACAGAGGAAAAGAGACAAUUUGGAAAUGAGGUGAAUGACUUUCACUUCUUCCUUUGCAGGACCCUAACCAGAUUCCUGUUCUUGCAACACAGGAUAUUUUACAGAUCAAGACUUAAGUCAGAUAGGAACAAGUUUACAGAGUGAGACAAGUCUACAUUCCUAGUUCACAUAAUCGUCAUAAUCAAAAGAGCUGAUGAGAAUACAGAAUGUACAAAUAGAUAAGAGUUCCACACAGAUUGUAAGCUCCAUUGGUUGGGGGAAGGAUAUUUAGCACCUGAC